RNAcentral lists this small RNA (28 nucleotides) under Bombyx mori (domestic silkworm). RNAcentral's name for it is "ovarian small RNA-12198". Lineage: Eukaryota; Metazoa; Arthropoda; Insecta; Lepidoptera; Bombycidae. The record is from RNAcentral.
AGGCCGAUCACACAGCAAGCCCUCUCGU